RNAcentral lists this ribosomal RNA (1143 nucleotides) under Gymnogobius urotaenia. RNAcentral's name for it is "partial 16S ribosomal RNA". It matches the Rfam family "Bacterial large subunit ribosomal RNA", at positions 791 to 2564 of the family's 2925-position model. The record is from RNAcentral. Lineage: Eukaryota; Metazoa; Chordata; Actinopteri; Gobiiformes; Gobiidae.
GCAAAAGAGUGGGAAGAUCUUUGAGUAGAGGUGACAGACCUACCGAGCUCAGUUAUAGCUGGUUGCCUACAAAAAGAAUAGAAGUUCAGCCUUUACACUUCUUCUCUCAAAACUGCAUAUACUAAUAAGUGACACAAAGAAGUUAAAAGAGUUAUUCAAGGGGGGAACAGCCCCCUUGAAAAAAGAUACAACUUUAUUUAGAAGGCUAAAGAUUAAAAUACCCCAGGCAAAUAUACCUUGGUGGGCCUAAAAGCAGCCAUCCAUAUAGAAAGCGUUAAAGCUCAAGUACUUUGCCCCUCCCUAAUUUCAAUAAUUCAAUCUUAAGCCCCUUAAUUAAUAGUAGGCCUUUUCAUGCACCCAUGAAAGAGAUACUGCUGAGAUGAGUAAUAAGAGGACCGCUCCUCUCCCCAACACUUGUAUAAUUCAGAACGAACCCCCACUGAAAAUUAACGCCCCCAACUAAAAGAGGGGCCUGGGAAAGCCCAAAAUAAACUAGAAGCUCACCCAACAAUUAGCGUUAACCCUACACAGGUGUGUUUUAAGGAAAGACUAAAAGAAAAAGAAGGAACUCGGCAAACACUGGCCUCGCCUGUUUACCAAAAACAUCGCCUCUUGCAACAAACGUAUAAGAGGUCCCGCCUGCCCUGUGACUUACUAGUUUAACGGCCGCGGUAUUUUGACCGUGCGAAGGUAGCGUAAUCACUUGUCUUUUAAAUGGAGACCUGUAUGAAUGGCACAACGAGGGCUAAGCUGUCUCCUUUUUCCAGUCAAUGAAAUUGAUUUUCCCGUGCAGAAGCGGGAAUAUAAACAUAAGACGAGAAGACCCUAUGGAGCUUAAGACACAAGGCAGCCCAUGUAAAACACCUGGCUCAACAGAAUUAACCAAGUGGCCCCUGCCCUUUUGUCUUUGGUUGGGGCGACCGCGGGGGAACAAAAAUCCCCCACGUGGAAUGGGGCCAACCCCCCUAAAGCCAGAGCCACAGCUCUAGCUAGCAGAACAUCUGACCUACAAGAUCCGGCAAAGCCGAUCAACGGACCGAGUUACCCUAGGGAUAACAGCGCAAUCCCCUUUUAGAGCCCAUAUCGACAAGGGGGUUUACGACCUCGAUGUUGGAUCAGGACAUCCUAAUGGUGCAGCCGCUA